CACUAGGUGGUGCUGGCAACAGCCUUACGUUAGGUGGCGGUUAAUCGCAUACGUGUAUCUGUGGGUAGUUUACAUUUUCCUUUUCUGACGGUGCACGCUGAAGGUCCUCUCAUAUUAGGAAUCUACGCAUUUGAACUGAAAACGUAAAUAGAAACUCGCGUGAAAGGUUUUCUGUCACCAGAUCUGCCACGCCGAAGCAAUUGUAACAUCAUAUAUCAUACCCUGCACAUCAAUAAGCAAACUUUUAAAUGGGAUGAACCUCGGAAACAGCUAAUUAUCAUUUCUUUUGAGUACCAUUAGUCGUAGUGUUCUUUCUAUUGGCACAUGGACUACAUACUACUGUCAGAUGUAAGCAUGUUGCAGAUGGUAGAUGCAGUGCCAACUGGAUUGUGUUGCAUUAUCAUCAAACCCAUACCCAAGAAGCUAUAAGGAAAGUAAAGCAGUCUCCAGAAAAUCUGUGCAAUACUUUGUUCAAUUUGGGGCAAAUGAAUGUAACAAGCAGAACAAAUGGCACCAUCGAGGAGGUUAAACAACCAUAUUGCAAAACAAACAUGCAUUGCACAUAAGCCAGUGGGUCCUGUUGUAUAAAUAUCAUUCUCACAGAAGCUUCUAGCUGACCAGAAUGGUGUUGGCUUUCCUAACAUGUUCUAACAAAUCCCAUACUAUCCCGUGCAUUCAAUGUUGUUGGAUAACAUUCUCUCUAACAUUCAUUCAAUCAAAAUCUUUCUUCUUUGUGAUAAAGAUAUGAUGAAAAUGGUGUGGAAAUGUUGAAGCUAGAGUACAAUAAACUCAAAACUUGUUCA
Molecule: long non-coding RNA, 803 nt
Organism: Daphnia carinata
Lineage: Eukaryota; Metazoa; Arthropoda; Branchiopoda; Diplostraca; Daphniidae
Exons: 6
Source: RefSeq, a predicted model, not a curated record